AGUGAACGCUGGCGGUAGGCCUAACACAUGCAAGUCGAACGGCAGCACAGUAAGAGCUUGCUCUUACGGGUGGCGAGUGGCGGACGGGUGAGGAAUACAUCGGAAUCUACUUUUUCGUGGGGGAUAACGUAGGGAAACUUACGCUAAUACCGCAUACGACCUACGGGUGAAAGCAGGGGAUCUUCGGACCUUGCGCGAUUGAAUGAGCCGAUGUCGGUUUAGCUAGUUGGCGGGGUAAAGGCCCACCAAGGCGACGUGCCGUAGCUGGUCUGAGAGGAUGAUCAGCCACACUGGAACUGAGACACGGUCCGGACUCCUACGGGAGGCAGCAGUGGGGAAUAUUGGACAAUGGGCGCAAGCCUGAUCCAGCCAUACCGCGUGGGUGAAGAAGGCCUUCGGGUUGUAAAGCCCUUUUGUUGGGAAAGAAAAUCAGCAGGUUAAUACCCCGCUGUUCUGACGGUACCCAAAGAAUAAGCACCGGCUAACUUCGU
RNAcentral lists this ribosomal RNA (491 nucleotides) under uncultured bacterium. Its description in RNAcentral is "partial 16S ribosomal RNA". It matches the Rfam family "Bacterial small subunit ribosomal RNA", at positions 29 to 506 of the family's 1533-position model. The record is from RNAcentral.